CAGUAGCCGCGGUAAUACGUAGGUGGCAAGCGUUGUCCGGAAUUAUUGGGCGCAAAGGGCUCGCAGGCGGUUUCUUAAGUCUGAUGUGAAAGCCCCCGGCUCAACCGGGGAGGGUCAUUGGAAACUGGGAAACUUGAGUGCAGAAGAGGAGAGUGGAAUUCCACGUGUAGCGGUGAAAUGCGUAGAGAUGUGGAGGAACACCAGUGGCGAAGGCGACUCUCUGGUCUGUAACUGACGCUGAGGAGCGAAAGCGUGGGGAGCGAACAGGAUUAGAUACCCCUGUAGUCCCUGUCUCUUAUAC
This 301-nucleotide ribosomal RNA is filed under the name uncultured bacterium. RNAcentral's name for it is "partial 16S ribosomal RNA". It matches the Rfam family "Bacterial small subunit ribosomal RNA", at positions 509 to 807 of the family's 1533-position model. The record is from RNAcentral.